GCUGGGCAUGGCGGCUCAUGCCUGUAAUCCCAGCACUUUUGGAGGCCGAGGCAGGUGGAUUGCUUGAGCCCAGGAGUUCCAGACAAGCCUGGGCAACACAGCAAAACCCUGUCUCUA
Macaca fascicularis (crab-eating macaque) is the source of this 117-nucleotide unclassified non-coding RNA. It matches the Rfam family "Metazoan signal recognition particle RNA". From Rfam's summary of the family: The signal recognition particle (SRP) is a universally conserved ribonucleoprotein. It is involved in the co-translational targeting of proteins to membranes. The record is from Ensembl. NCBI's taxonomy places the organism in Eukaryota, Metazoa, Chordata, Mammalia, Primates, Cercopithecidae.